AUGCACGCUGGCGGCGUGCCUAAUACCUGCCAGUCGCGCGAACAGACGAGGAGCUUGCUCCUCUGACGUUAGCGGCGGACGGGUGAGUAACACGUGGAUAACCUACCUAUAAGACUGGGAUAACUUCGGGAAACCGGAGCUAAUACCGGAUAAUAUAUUGAACCGCAUGGUUCAAUAGUGAAAGACGGUUUUGCUGUCACUUAUAGAUGGAUCCGCGCCGCAUUAGCUAGUUGGUAAGGUAACGGCUUACCAAGGCAACGAUGCGUAGCCGACCUGAGAGGGUGAUCGGCCACACUGGAACUGAGACACGGUCCAGACUCCUACGUGAGGCAGCAGUAGGGAAUCUUCCGCAAUGGGCGAAAGCCUGACGGAGCAACGCCGCGUGAGUGAUGAAGGUCUUCGGAUCGUAAAACUCUGUUAUUAGGGAAGAACAAAUGUGUAAGUAACUAUGCACGUCUUGACGGUACCUAAUCAGAAAGCCACGGCUAACUACGUG
This 496-nucleotide ribosomal RNA is filed under the name uncultured bacterium. RNAcentral's name for it is "partial 16S ribosomal RNA". It matches the Rfam family "Bacterial small subunit ribosomal RNA", at positions 29 to 507 of the family's 1533-position model. The record is from RNAcentral.